GGCGCGAUGGCGAAGUAGCUAACGCAGCGGUCUGCAAAACCGCUAUUCAGGGGUGCAAAUCCCCUUCGCGCCU
Molecule: transfer RNA, 73 nt
Filed under: Candidatus Sungiibacteriota bacterium
Lineage: Bacteria; Candidatus Sungiibacteriota
Description: Candidatus Sungbacteria bacterium tRNA-Cys
Rfam family: tRNA
About the family: Transfer RNA (tRNA) molecules are approximately 80 nucleotides in length. Their secondary structure includes four short double-helical elements and three loops (D, anti-codon, and T loops).
Source: RNAcentral